AAUUCAAUUUUUUAGAAACAUAUUUAUGACACAAAAUACAUAUUCACAGCAUAUUCCUAAAUACAAAACUAUAGCUGAGAUUUUAUUCCAAUUAGCUAAGGUAUCGAAUAUUUUAUGCUUUCCGAUCAAGGAAUUUUUUUUACCUAACUUAUGAGUCUAUAAAUACUCUUAUGCUUCACGUCUCAUAACAUCAUCAUACACAAAAGCAACGAUCUAAAAAACCCAGCAAACACAUGAAUUAAGAGAGAUUUAACACAGCUUAUUCUCUAAAGGUUACUCAUUCUCAAGGCAAUGUUGAAAACAAUACCAAAUCAAAGUUUAGAAUUCCAUCACAACUAACCUUUAGGAGAUGUGGUAACACUAUUUUUCUAUGGAUUAUCAGAUUCAUUAGUAAAGGUAAUGAUUUACACUAUACUUUUGUAUAUCCAAACCACAUGUCAGGAGACGAAAAAAAAACACUAAAUCUGAGUUAUUUCAUUAAGCAACACUCAAAACUAUAUAACUACAACUCUUGGAAAUGAAAUUUUGUUACUAACCUUUGUCUCUAUUGCUUGUGAGGACAGAUGACACGACUCUUCACUAAUCAUUUACUUCCACUUUCAUAAUAAAAAAUUAAGCUUCACCUAUGAAGCAAAACAAACGUUAGUUACAUAGAUUAAGAAUCUUUUAAGGUACAUGUUAUAAAGAAAACAAUUUCUUAUCUUUGUGUUGGUCACGAGACUGAUAAGCUGAGGGUUCCUUUGGUAUUCAUGAAGAAGAAGGCUAGAACCAGUGGAAGAAGGGCUCAAGUCUGGGGCUCGAGCUGGGGAAAGAAGAAUGCAACAUCAAGUGGCUAAGUGAAGGCAUUCAAGAGAAGAUAAGAGGAGAGUUAAGGAAGAGCAGAAAAAUAGACAGAAAUGAUAGAAAAUAGUGAGCUUUACCUAAACAGCCGCUCAAAGAAAGAAUAAGAUUAUUGUUGUAUAAAGCUUGAAUCAUUUUAUCUUCUAUAGAUAAUCUGAUAUUAAAUGAUUAGUUGAUAAAUCAAUUAGAUUGUUUAACUUUUGUAAAAUAAAGACACAUGAAUAUAUAUGUUACAACAUUUCUGUAAAGUAGCUACAA
Long non-coding RNA from Arabidopsis lyrata subsp. lyrata, 1098 nucleotides. RefSeq lists it as uncharacterized. The transcript is spliced from 2 exons. The record is from RefSeq and is a predicted model, not a curated record. NCBI's taxonomy places the organism in Eukaryota, Viridiplantae, Streptophyta, Magnoliopsida, Brassicales, Brassicaceae.